UUUGUUGUUGACUACUGAAAUAUCUGCAAAAUUGCUUCAGCAGUGGGAGACGACAUUCAAGCAGAAAGUCAUCAAAGAAGCAAAACCUCUCACUUUGAUAGCAGGACUUCAAAGUUAUAUCAGUGCAGCAGAGAAACAACAGUGUGAAAAUUACUGGGAUGGUAACAUUUCCUCUUUCUUGCUACUGUUGUAUUUGCUACCACCUUCUGCAUGGAGAAACAAGGCUAAAAUCAGUCCAACUGAUGCUGUUGACAGGCUUGUACAUUUUCAUAAGUCCUGUACCAGCAUUGAAGAAUGUCUCAGCAGGAGAGAACGUCACCAACC
Molecule: long non-coding RNA, 324 nt
Organism: Erpetoichthys calabaricus (reedfish)
Lineage: Eukaryota; Metazoa; Chordata; Cladistia; Polypteriformes; Polypteridae
Exons: 3
Source: RefSeq, a predicted model, not a curated record